RNAcentral lists this long non-coding RNA (234 nucleotides) under Coccomyxa subellipsoidea. RNAcentral's name for it is "long non-coding RNA (CSUB_LNC000552)". The record is from RNAcentral. Lineage: Eukaryota; Viridiplantae; Chlorophyta; Trebouxiophyceae; Coccomyxaceae.
ACAAAAGAUUCCCAUCCCUUUCCCCGAAGAGAAAUUUUAACUCCCCAGCGACUGCCGUAGUCUGCUGUGUAUUCUCAGAUAUGAUCUGCUAGGGCCACCGGGCAUCCUGCAGUCAGGAAGCCGCCAGUCUAAGCGUCAGCUUACAUCUUGGCUGGUGCUAGCCAAAGCUAAGGAAUUGUCACGGUAGAUUUGCAAGAAACCUUUCCGAUACAAUACGUGGCUUUUAUUAAGCAU